AGCGGUGGAGCAUGUGGUUUAAUUCGAUGCAACGCGAAGAACCUUACCUGGUCUUGACAUCCACAGAACUUUCCAGAGAUGGAUUGGUGCCUUCGGGAACUGUGAGACAGGUGCUGCAUGGCUGUCGUCAGCUCGUGUUGUGAAAUGUUGGGUUAAGUCCCGCAACGAGCGCAACCCUUAUCCUUUGUUGCCAGCGGUCCGGCCGGGAACUCAAAGGAGACUGCCAGUGAUAAACUGGAGGAAGGUGGGGAUGACGUCAAGUCAUCAUGGCCCUUACGACCAGGGCUACACACGUGCUACAAUGGCGCAUACAAAGAGAAGCGACCUCGCGAGAGCAAGCGGACCUCAUAAAGUGCGUCGUAGUCCGGAUUGGAGUCUGCAACUCGACUCCAUGAAGUCGGAAUCGCUAGUAAUCGUGGAUCAGAAUGCCACGGUGAAUACGUUCCCGGGCCUUGUACACACCGCCCGUCACACCAUGGGAGUGGGUUGCAAAAGAAGUAGGUAGCUUAACCUUCGGGAGGGCGCUUACCACUUUGUGAUUCAUGACUGGGGUGAAGUCGUAACAAGGUAACCGUAGGGGAACCUGCGGUUGGAUCACCUCCUUACCUUAAAGAAGC
Molecule: ribosomal RNA, 617 nt
Filed under: Shigella sonnei
Lineage: Bacteria; Pseudomonadati; Pseudomonadota; Gammaproteobacteria; Enterobacterales; Enterobacteriaceae
Description: bacterial SSU rRNA
Rfam family: Bacterial small subunit ribosomal RNA
Source: RNAcentral